Non-coding RNA from Physcomitrium patens, 3884 nucleotides. The record is from RefSeq and is a predicted model, not a curated record. Lineage: Eukaryota; Viridiplantae; Streptophyta; Bryopsida; Funariales; Funariaceae.
UCCAAUUGGGAAAGCACUUUCCGGUUUCACACUUGAAAGCUUUCAAGGGCUUUUUCAGUUUCUAGCGUUCUCAUUCGUCCGCUGCGGUGGGUGUCCUGUCCUCAUUUCCGUCAGUUCCCAUUAUGUAGUUCCGGACGUGGAGACCGCUGGACCACGUGGAUCCCCAUCACAGCAGCCGCCCUUGGGACGUUGAGAACCGUCGCCGGACGCCGGACGCCAGACGGCAACUGGCGGCACCACUUGGUCCUCAUGAGCCGCUGCCGCUGCGCUUUCAAAUUGGAAGCUCGCUACAGUAGGCGGCGCCAUUCUGAUCAAGGGUGCAGCGAUCUCGUCAGCUACCGUGUUGCUAUUGUUUGUAGAGGUUGGGAGGGCUUGUGAUGGUUGUGUCUCCUGACAAUACUCCACGAAUCGUUGCCUUGUUCACGCUGGGCUGGACAGUUCGCUUGUUAUUGUCUGUUAAGUUGAUGAUCUUGGCUGUCUAAUGCGACUAGGUUACGACUUGGCCUUUUUCCACUGUCCCUGUAGUGAAAGAGGAGUCGAGGUCGAGGUCGUUUUGUGGUCCCGGCCCCUGGUGGUUAUUGAGAUCGGUGUCUGCAUUGCGGAGGUGGAGGUCGAUUUCGAUUUUUGUGUUGUGUGUAGACCCGUCGGCUCGUGCUUUAUUGUUGCGUCGGGGAGGGACCCACCGGCGGUCGUGUGAUGCAGGGCGGUUUCCCGGUAGUUUGACUUCGGGAGAUCGGUUGCUCGAUGCGGGAGCGUACAGGUUGUUGUUGUUGUUGUUGUGUUUUGACGAACUUGUUUCUGGAGAAUUUCGGUGCCGGAGGAUUGGAGUGUAAUACGUUCGCUGCGGAGUUUGCGUGCUCCGUACAUGUUGAACUGCAAGUUCAAGUAGGCAACGUCUGUCGCACCUAAAUUUAUUAGAAUCUUACAAACAAUUCUGUCAAUAUUUUCCUGCAAGGACUGUUGAAGUACAUUUGGGGGACAAAGACUUAGCAAUUGCUUGGAGGUCUGUAACACGCAGACUUUGUUUUAAUUUUAUUUUUCGUAGUUUUCAUUCGGUUGGCUUUACAUGUGUACAUCCUUGAGAGAGGUAUCCUUGUAGAGCUUACUUCUUAAGGUGCUAAUCUUAGCGAAAAUCCUAGAAUAGGAAGCCAUGGCAAUGGGACUAGGUCCAAUGCAGCUUCUUCCAAUUGGUCGAAAGCAAAUUCUUUCGGGUAAACUGCACGAUAGAUCUGUAGUUUGCAGAAGUAGUGACGAUGGACCAGUUUCUACCAGUAAUUUAUUGCACAGAGAUGUGUUUCAACGUUGUCGACAGCGUCAUGUUCCCUUGGCUGCAACUCCAGGCUUUCUUGGCAGGCACUCCUUCAAUUUAAAUCGGAAGUGUGGUGUAGUUUCAUGUGCGGAAUCAAAUAUUGUUGACAGUACAUUGGAGCCGGCUCCAGAAGUGAUUGAUGCAACGAUCUCAGAGUCAUCACCAGAAAUCGUCGUCGGAUCUUUUACUGAGUCAGGUAUUGAGGUUGUGAGGUCGAUUGAAGAAGCUGAAAAUGAGGUACUCAAAGCUGUGUCUGACCUCGAACAAGGAGGGACAUUCGGCAUUGGAAUUACACGCAAUCCCAUCACAUCUGUGCUGGAUGUAUUAUCGACAGAGGAUCAUAGCUUCAAUGUGCAAUCUCAGCUGUUAAAUGCUCUAGAGCAACCUUCAGCGGUGGCAGCUUCUUGUGUGGUCUCUGAGGUCGCCAACGCGUUGAGAACUUUAGAAAGGGAUGGUGGGGAGUCUCUUGAGAGCGGCGUGUUGAAUUUGGUGGGUACAGAAGUAGAAGCGGGCGAGCGUGAUAAGUUGUUGAGCGGACUCCAGCAACUCACAUCAUCAGUUGAGCCCAGCCUCAUGGCGACAGAAAUGGCAGAUUCUUUGUUAUCUACAAGUAAAGAUUUGAGUGACGGUGCGUCAUCUCAAGAAGAGAGCGUGAUGGAACAUGCCUCGGCAUCUGUAGUAGAAUCAAAGAACUUCUUUGAGCAAUUCAAGGAAAUUAUUGUAUUUGCAGGACCCGCACUCGGCAUUUGGCUGUCCGGGCCUAUCAUGAGCUUGAUUGAUACCUCUGUCAUUGGGAAUAGUAGCUCCUUGGAACUCGCUGCUCUUGGGCCGGGUACAGUCAUAUGUGAUCAAUUCUGCUUCGUUUUCAUGUUCUUGUCUGUGGCCACUUCCAACCUCGUUGCUACGGCUCUUGCUUUGAAGAAUAGAGAAGAGGCAGCAGGACAUCUUUCAAGAUUGAUAUUUGUGUCAUUGGCGUGUGGAAUCGGCAUGUUUCUCCUCACCUGGUUUGGAGCGACUCCUGUUAUGACAGCAUUUGUGGGGGUCAAGAAUGCUGCUUUGGUUCCCACUGCACUUCCUUACGUUCAGAUCAGAGCCUUUGCAUGGCCUGCAGUGCUUGUUGGCAUGGUUGCACAGAGUGCCAGUCUUGGAAUGCAGGAUUCAUGGGCUCCACUGAAAGUACUAGCAAUUGCGAGUUGUGUGAAUCUUUUUGGAGACAUCCUCUUGUGUAGUGUGCUUGGAUACGGCAUAGCAGGAGCAGCAUGGGCAACAAUGGCCUCUCAGUAUGUGGGAGUGAUUUUGAUGUUGAUGUCAUUGAACGACAAAGGGUACAAUCCCCUUGCUAUGAGUAUACCUUCCGUGGAAGAAUUUACCAUCAUGGUUAACUUAGCUGGACCGGUUCUACUCACUAUGUUGUCCAAGGUGUUAUUCUAUACGCUCAUCACUUACUUAGCAACAUCUUUGGGAUCGGCAACCUUAGCUGGCCAUCAGGUGAUGAUUGGGAUCUAUUCUCUGUGUACUACAUGGGGAGAGCCUCUUGCGCAGACAGCCCAGUCUUUCAUGCCUGCUCUCAUCUUUGGUAUUGAACGUAAUUUGCAGAAGGCAAGGAGUUUGUUGAAGUCCUUGAUGACAAUUGGAAUUGUGGUCGGGCUUUCGUUAGGGUGCUGCGCUAUAUCUGUACCCUGGUUUUUACCUCAAGUUUUCACCAAAGAUCCCGCUAUCAUCUCUCAGAUGCGUUUGGUGUCAGUGCCCUUCCUUUUCAGUCUGAUGAUUACUCCACCUACACUUUCUCUGGAGGGCACUUUACUGGCUGGUAGAGAUAUGAAGUAUUUGGGGAUUAGCAUGGCCUCAUGUUUCGUUGGUGGGGCCAUCAUGUUAUUGACAAUGCACAGGCUUGGGUUCGGAUUAGUUGGUAGCUGGUGGACGCUUGCAGCUUUUCAAUGGACACGUUUCUUACAGGCGUAUUCCCGUCUACAUUCUUCACGGAGCUUUCUGGCUGAUCCUGUGUUGUCACACGAGGGAGGUUCACUAUUAAAGACUGCGUAAGGAGAUGUGAUGAUUGCUCUAAAGCGGCAGUCUUGGCUCCCACAACACUUGGCAAUGUGUUCGCGUUUUAGAGCACAUUUUCUGGAGAGCAAUUCAUUUUGUUUUUAGACCUCACAUUUGUGAACCCCUUCUGAUUAAAAUAGGGGUUCACUAAUUCAAAGCAUUUCAGGGACGUGUCGUACAGCUAGGAGCUCUUGGCGACGCUAUUUCAGUCGAUUUCAGAGUUCCUGUAAGGUAUCUAACAUAACAAUGUACAGGGAAUCCUUGGCAUCGUAUCUCAGUGUGCGCUACUCUUCAACUGAAAGGUGAGAGACCAAUGCCUAAUAUUAUUUCAUCACGGAGAGACCAUAUCCUACUUUCAAUGGCGUCAUUACCAACAGUACCUUUCAGUACCUCAAGUUAUUUACUUAAUUAUUUUUUGAUAUGCUUCCACAAAAUGUGAGGGCUUAAUAGGGGCUUGGCCAACUUAAGCAUUAUACAAGUUGAUAAGAAAUGAUGUUUGCUUUCACACAAUAUAAGUUUUGAGAAGGAA